UUGGAGAAGAAAAGCCCAUGGCCCAUUGCAGAUUGCUCAACCAGGCCACACGAUCGCAUCUCUUUGCACAGAUCGGCACGCACGCACGACCCUGCCGACGCCGACGCUUCGCACUCGUAGUCGUGUCGUAUCCCAG
This 136-nucleotide ribosomal RNA is filed under the name uncultured bacterium. RNAcentral describes it as "partial 16S rRNA". The record is from RNAcentral.